CUGUGCAUCACAGGUCUUGGUCGCCAAUGCAUGUGUGCGGAAUAAAAUAAAUAUAUUCGUUCAAUACGUAUUUUUUAACUUUGAAGUUCAUUUCGUUUCAGAAAAAAAAAUCUGGUGAUUUUCAUAAUGAUGCUUGAGGAAAUAUGCUAACAUAUUGAUUGGAUGGUCGUACUUCUGCCGAUGACUAAUUAUCGACGUGGAAUGAGAAAAAAAAAAUAUUAAUGAUGAUUGUGAUUAUGACGGUAGCGAUGAAUAUUUUAAUAGUGACGAUUAAUACAGAUUUUAAAGUUGUGUGUAGUCUAUUUGAGUUUCUGUGAAUUGUGGUUAAAAUUGAUUGUUACUACAAUAUACUAUAAUGACAAAUGAUGGUGAUAAAAUACAGUGAUGACGAUUAACGAUAAUAAAAUGGUGUGUCUAAACUUGCAAAGGUAAGUUGUGAGAUAAUGUUUGAAUGUCUGAAAAUUUUCAAGGCGACUUGGUGGGGUUGUGAAAUGACGUGAUGUGAAGCUAGAAUAUAUUCACAGGCAAUAUCUAUACAUUAUAUUGUGUUUUCAUUUCAGAAAAAGAAAAAAAAAACAUAUUUUGAUAAUGCGUGUGAAUUUCCAAAUAAAUCAAACCAAUUUGCUAGGUGGAGUAGUGCCUCUUCUGACGGAGAACUGUAGACACAAUGUGCUCAUGGGGACGAUGAUAACGGUGAUGAAGAUAACGAGUGGUGUAAUGAUGGCGAUAUAGAUGAUACAGUGAUGAUAAAAACGAUAGUGAUGAUGACAUGGUAGACCUAUACUUGAAGAUUAGGUACCCGUAGUCGAUACGCAAGGCAUUAAGUGAUUGUGGACUGUCCUUCGACCUGACUGGAAUGUAGUGUGAUCGAUUUAAAAACAAGGAAAUAUGUGGACGUCGAUGGUUAAUAAUGAUGGUAUGGUAAUGGACGCUAUGAUAUUAAUAACGAAAGCUGAUUAUGCUAAGGAAUUCAGAACUGUGAUUAAGCUAAUACCAGCAUUGACCCAGGAAGCGAAUUUUAUCUGGUUUAUCAGCAGAAUCACAUCCGUUCAGAUGGAAUGAGCCAAUCUGGUCGAAUUAAUUUAGAGAUGCCGAGUAUUUUUGCAAAUGUUAAAGAACACAGAACAUACAAUUUGAUAUUAUGGUUAAGGCUAUUCGUCAUUGCAGUUGGUAACUAUAAUAAUAAAAUAUAGGCUAUGUAAUAAUAAUAAUAUUAAUAAUAAUAAUGACGACGACGAGAUAUAAAAAAAGUCUACAUUUAAAAUAAUAACAACCGUACGAAUACAGUAUUCAUCAAUACAAUUACUUCUUUGUUCGUUUUCUAUAUUUGUCAUCCUAUUUGUUGUUGCUUGUUUCGUACAUUACUGUUUCAUAUCACUUUCAUCAUUUCAUUUCGCCCUAACCUAGUCCAUCCUCUCUCAUAUCUAAACUCAAUUUGGCCUAUAGAUUUAUUUUAGAUAGUCAGGUUAGCUAGGUCUUAGUUGUAGAGUAGGUAAGAUGUAGAUUAAGUAUUAGCUAGGUUAAAGAAAGUAGAUUAACAUCCUAAAUGAGAGAGGAAUGGGAAAAACAUUAACCUCCAUCAUUAACAUCAAUUCAAUGUAUCCUAUUAUUUCAUUACUGUAUUGUAUUACAGACAUCGCUCUUCACAAUGUGUUCGUCCAAUCAGAUGAUGUUAUAAAAAUACUACUGAUCAAUAAAAUUUACCACAUAAAAUAAAGACACAAAAAUAACUAUAAAUGUAAAAGUAUAACAAUUGCAAUGACAUGUGCUAAAAUAAUUUUUUGUGGUAAGUUAAACUGUUAUCAUUUGCUAUAUACUGUAUUCAGUUGUGAUGUUGAUGCGAAUAAAAAUGAUAAAUAAGCAGGACUGGUUAAUGCUUGAUUGUAUACAGUCUGUCACACCGGCAUUAUGAGCAUAUAUUGAACGAUGGAUGUUAAACCUAUACCUAAACUUAAAAAACCUUGAAUGACUUGUCAUAUUUUUUUAUUUCUUGACCACAGCGAGUUAAUGUAUUAACAUAACGUCAACAGGCAGUAGUUUAAUUAUUGGAUACUUUAUCAACUUUCCAGUUUAUUUUAUAUAUCAAGUAGUUUUGAAACAAACGUGCUCAUGAUUGUACAUAUAGUAUAUAUUUCACCACACGUUCAGUGCCGUAGAAAAUCUUGUAUUCCCAACUUCAUUCACAUUUAUAAUGAUAAAGUUAAUAGAUAAUUCUGGUUUUAAGUGCAAUUUUGGCCUAAUUUAAUUAAGUUUAAUGUGUAAUAUUGUUUAAUAAUGUUUAAUAUUCUUUGUA
Molecule: long non-coding RNA, 2293 nt
Filed under: Anneissia japonica
Lineage: Eukaryota; Metazoa; Echinodermata; Crinoidea; Comatulida; Comatulidae
Description: uncharacterized LOC117114323
Source: RNAcentral